GAGAGAGAGAGAGAGAGGAGGAAACAAAAGUGAUGUGAACCCGCCUAACUUCAUGCUGUGUUAUUUAAACGGGUUGUCUCAGAAAUUGCCAUCCCAACUUUAAAUGACUUCUGCUUAUGCGGAACAGGGUUGAUAUAACAAUGAAACCAUUUAAUAAUGCUCAGUAAACCUGGUCAGCCACUUCAAUCUCCACAAGGAUUAAAAUGGAAAGGGCCCAAACAGACAAUUUGGUAGAGGAAGAGGCAGUUGAAGAUGCUUUAAGAAUUAAUCUUUAUUGGCCAGAACUUAAUAAAAUCACUUAGGCAAAUAAGAGUUCACUUACGCUUUUCUCAAGUGCCG
This 339-nucleotide unclassified non-coding RNA is filed under the name Hevea brasiliensis (rubber tree). Lineage: Eukaryota; Viridiplantae; Streptophyta; Magnoliopsida; Malpighiales; Euphorbiaceae. The record is from RNAcentral.